Molecule: long non-coding RNA, 885 nt
Filed under: Nicotiana benthamiana
Lineage: Eukaryota; Viridiplantae; Streptophyta; Magnoliopsida; Solanales; Solanaceae
Description: long non-coding RNA (NBEN_LNC026940)
Source: RNAcentral
UGCUUCAAAACAUAUAUACCCAAGCAAGUAGGAUAAAAACAUGUAACGUAAUACAAGCCAUUUCUUUGAACACUGAUCUUGUAAUCACAUUCUUUCAUUAAGCAUGACUUUCAACUUCAAUUUGAAAUACACUUCUUUAGCAUCAAAAUGAAGCUACAACUUCUAAUUGAAUGAUCAUGAGAACACAUACCCAGCAGCCUCAUGACAAAGAAUGCAUGGAGGAGACCCUCAAAACCAUUUCAGCUAUGUGAUCCUCCUCAUUUAUCUCGUGUAUAUAUGCCCCUGAUUUGUGCAGAGCUGGAUUACAAUGAUUCAUGAUUAGGAAUAAAUACUUAUAUCCAUAAAGUCACAAAACAUUUUUAAGAAAUAAAAGGAAGAUAAAUAGUUAAUUAUGGUGGCCUGCUUGUGAUGGAAGGAAUGGUAUCGGAUAAUGCACAAUGCAGCUGAUGACAGAGUAGUUGUUUUCUUUAGCCACCUGCAUAAUGGCACAAAAUCAUACAAUACUCCAUUUAUUUAACUGCACCACCUGCCAGAUCUUUUUGAACAAAAAAUUGCAAAUCAAGUACAUAUAGUAAUCAUGGCCCUAGGACAUCAUGACAUUAUCAAGCCACAUUUUACAGAAUAAACUCCAUAUUAGUCCCAUAUUAUUUAGAAUAAAUUUCAUAUCUUGUGUUGUAAGCUGGAUAGUGGUAAUUAAAACUUUCUAUGAAAUAUUGUAGAAUAGACAAUUGAGGAGGAAUGAAGUUCUAUGAUGAAAAGAAAGACUCGUUGAAAAAGAGAAGUAUCCAAUAGCGAUACCGCAAAGGAAAACAUAAGUUAGAAAAUGCAAACCAAAACUCUGCUCUCCCAGCCAAAAAUAAUAAACACUAAUGGAGCCAUAUGCAU